AUUGAACGCUGGCGGCAGGCCUAACACAUGCAAGUCGAACGGUAACAGGAAGCAGCUUGCUGCUUUGCUGACGAGUGGCGGACGGGUGAGUAAUGUCUGGGAAACUGCCCGAUGGAGGGGGAUAACUACUGGAAACGGUAGCUAAUACCGCAUAACGUCGCAAGACCAAAGAGGGGGACCUUAGGGCCUCUUGCCAUCGGAUGUGCCCAGAUGGGAUUAGCUAGUAGGUGGGGUAACGGCUCCCCUAGGCGACGAUCCCUAGCUGGUCUGAGAGGAUGACCAGCCACACUGGAACUGAGACACGGUCCAGACUCCUACGGGAGGCAGCAGUGGGGAAUAUUGCACAAUGGGCGCAAGCCUGAUGCAGCCAUGCCGCGUGUAUGAAGAAGGCCUUCGGGUUGUAAAGUACUUUCAGCGGGGAGGAAGGGAGUAAAGUUAAUACCUUGGCUCAUUGACGUUACCCGCAGAAGAAGCACCGGCUAACUCCGUG
RNAcentral lists this ribosomal RNA (490 nucleotides) under uncultured bacterium. RNAcentral describes it as "partial 16S ribosomal RNA". It matches the Rfam family "Bacterial small subunit ribosomal RNA", at positions 30 to 507 of the family's 1533-position model. The record is from RNAcentral.